Molecule: ribosomal RNA, 722 nt
Filed under: Pseudomonadota bacterium
Lineage: Bacteria; Pseudomonadati; Pseudomonadota
Description: bacterial SSU rRNA
Rfam family: Bacterial small subunit ribosomal RNA
Source: RNAcentral
AUUGAACGCUGGCGGCAUGCCUUACACAUGCAAGUCGAACGGCAGCGCGGACUUCGGUCUGGCGGCGAGUGGCGAACGGGUGAGUAAUGUAUCGGAACGUGCCCUAGAGUGGGGGAUAACGUAGCGAAAGUUACGCUAAUACCGCAUACGAUCUAUGGAUGAAAGUGGGGGACCGUAAGGCCUCACGCUCAUGGAGCGGCCGAUAUCUGAUUAGCUAGUUGGUAGGGUAAAAGCCUACCAAGGCGACGAUCAGUAGCUGGUCUGAGAGGACGACCAGCCACACUGGGACUGAGACACGGCCCAGACUCCUACGGGAGGCAGCAGUGGGGAAUUUUGGACAAUGGGGGAAACCCUGAUCCAGCAAUGCCGCGUGUGUGAAGAAGGCCUUCGGGUUGUAAAGCACUUUUGUCAGGAACGAAACGGUGGGGGCUAAUAUCCUCUGCUAAUGACGGUACCUGAAGAAUAAGCACCGGCUAACUACGUGCCAGCAGCCGCGGUAAUACGUAGGGUGCGAGCGUUAAUCGGAAUUACUGGGCGUAAAGCGUGCGCAGGCGGUUGUGCAAGACAGAUGUGAAAUCCCCGGGCUUAACCUGGGAAUUGCAUUUGUGACUGCACGGCUAGAGUGUGUCAGAGGGGGGUAGAAUUCCACGUGUAGCAGUGAAAUGCGUAGAUAUGUGGAGGAAUACCGAUGGCGAAGGCAGCCCCCUGGGAUAACACUGACG